RNAcentral lists this ribosomal RNA (482 nucleotides) under uncultured bacterium. RNAcentral's name for it is "partial 16S ribosomal RNA". It matches the Rfam family "Bacterial small subunit ribosomal RNA", at positions 28 to 507 of the family's 1533-position model. The record is from RNAcentral.
GACGAACGCUGGCGGCGUGCUUAACACAUGCAAGUCGAACGAUGAAGAAGAGAAACGCGAACUUCGGUUCAAAUUUCACUUCGGAUUAGUGGCAGACGGGUGAGUAACGCGUGAGCAACCUACCUCUUACAAAGGGAUAGCCUCGGGAAACCGUGAUUAAUACCAUAUGACACAUUCAUAAGGCCUCUUAAGAAUGUUAAAGCUACGGCGGUAAGAGAUGGGCUCGCGUCCCAUUAGCUAGUUGGUGAGGUAACGGCCCACCAAGGCGACGAUGGGUAACCGGGCUGAGAGGGUGAACGGACACAUUGGAACUGAGACACGGUCCAGACUCCUACGGGAGGCAGCAGUGGGGAAUAUUGCACAAUGGAGGGAACUCUGAUGCAGCGACGCCGCGUGAGCGAUGAAGGAAUUAGUGUCGUAAAGCUCUGUUAUAUGGGAAGAAAAGGACUGUACCAUAGGAGAAAGCCCCGGCUAAAUACGUG